RNAcentral lists this ribosomal RNA (449 nucleotides) under Gemella sanguinis. RNAcentral describes it as "bacterial SSU rRNA". It matches the Rfam family "Bacterial small subunit ribosomal RNA", at positions 28 to 463 of the family's 1533-position model. The record is from RNAcentral. Lineage: Bacteria; Bacillati; Bacillota; Bacilli; Caryophanales; Gemellaceae.
GACGAACGCUGGCGGCGUGCCUAAUACAUGCAAGUCGAGCGAAGUUUUUCUGGUGCUUGCACUAGAAAAACUUAGCGGCGAACGGGUGAGUAACACGUAAAGAACCUGCCUCAUAGACGGGGACAACUAUUGGAAACGAUAGCUAAUACCGGAUAACAGCAUAAAUCGCAUGAUAUAUGUUUAAAAGUUGGUUUCGGCUAACACUAUGAGAUGGCUUUGCGGUGCAUUAGCUAGUUGGUGGGGUAAAGGCCUACCAAGGCGACGAUGCAUAGCCGACCUGAGAGGGUGAUCGGCCACACUGGGGCUGAGACACGGCCCAGACUCCUACGGGAGGCAGCAGUAGGGAAUCUUCCGCAAUGGGCGAAAGCCUGACGGAGCAACGCCGCGUGAGUGAAGAAGGAUUUCGGUUCGUAAAGCUCUGUUGUUAGGGAAGAAUGAUUGUAUAGUAA